ACGGGUGAGUAACGCGUGAGCAACCUGUCCCUUACAGGGGGAUAACACAGCGAAAGUUGUACUAAUACCGCAUAAGACCACGGAUUCACAUGGAUCAGGGGUCAAAGGAGCAAUCCGGUAAGGGGUGGGCUCGCGUCCGAUUAGAUAGUUGGUGAGGUAACGGCCCACCAAGUCGACGAUCGGUAGCCGACCUGAGAGGGUGAUCGGCCACAUUGGAACUGAGACACGGCCCAAACUCCUACGGGAGGCAGCAGUGGGGAAUAUUGGGCAAUGGGGGGAACCCUGACCCAGCAACGCCGCGUGAGGGAAGAAGGUUUUCGGAUCGUAAACCUCUGUCCUAUGUGAAGAGGAAGAGACGGUAGCAUAGGAGGAAGCCCCGGCUAACUACGUGCCAGCAGCCGCGGUAAUACGUAGGGGGCGAGCGUUGUCCGGAAUGAUUGGGCGUAAAGGGCGCGUAGGCGGCCUUUUAAGUCUGAAGUGAAAGUCCUGGUUUUAAGUUGGGAAUUGCUUUGGAUACUGGAAGGCUUGAGUGCAGGAGAGGUAAGUGGAAUUCCCAGUGUAGCGGUGAAAUGCGUAGAGAUUGGGAGGAACACCAGUGGCGAAGGCGACUUACUGGACUGUAACUGACGCUGAGGCGCGAAAGUGUGGGGAGCAAACAGGAUUAGAUACCCUGGUAGUCCACACUGUAAACGAUGAAUGCUAGGUGUAGGGGGUAUCGACCCCUUCUGUGCCGCAGUAAACACAAUAAGCAUUCCGCCUGGGGAGUACGGCCGCAAGGUUGAAACUCAAAUGAAUUGACGG
RNAcentral lists this ribosomal RNA (801 nucleotides) under uncultured bacterium. RNAcentral's name for it is "bacterial SSU rRNA". It matches the Rfam family "Bacterial small subunit ribosomal RNA", at positions 102 to 916 of the family's 1533-position model. The record is from RNAcentral.